GGUGUCAGCAGUUCUCUGUGAUAGCAUCCCUGCUUGUGACAGCUAGAAGGAAAAAGUGGGUGUUUGUUGAUGAGGUUAUACUCAAAUUUGAUUGAGACCUGCUGUCUGUUGUUGUGUUCCAAUGCAGAAAGUGUUGUCAGUGGGUAGCUGGUGAGGAGCUGGGUGCUAGGCAGCAAGAGGUCAAAAAUACAGAGCUGCUGAGUUGGUCCUGUUUUAUUUGGUAUUGUUUGUGAGGCUCAGUGGAAUGUAAUCCCUUAUUUUAGAUGAUGUCUCACUGUCCCUGAAAACAUGUCUCUUAAAAGUUUUGCUGUUAUUAUUUUCAGCUUCAGCAUGCAUUUGUGAACUAACUGUACUCAGGAAGGGUGCUCUGCCGUUGAUUCAGUUCUUGUCCUACAAAACAUCCCCACUAAAAUGUUUUGGAAAUGGCUUAAGGUAUAAUCUGCAGUGUGAGGAGGCUGGCAGUGAGAAUGGUUGUGGCUUUGAUAUUAGGUGGCCUGUGUAGGCUUGGCUUUGACCCUUCAGUGAGGUAUCAGAAUUUCCUGUCUGAAGAUGUUUUCAGCUCCAAAGUCAGCUAGUCUGGAAGCAUUUCUCUUUGUCCUGCUGCUGGCAGUAUUGAUCUGAAAAGCUGCAGGUGGAAGCAGCAGCCUGAGGUCCCCACUCACAGUGUAUCUGGGGACCUCAAGAGCCACGCUUGCUUCUGGCUGCCAAGAGCUAAAACCCAGGCAUGAGCAUAGGAACCUGCUUAGCAGUGCCUGAACUGCUGGUGCAUCUUGGAAGGAUUAGUACCUAAGUGCUUUCUGCACAAGUGUUGUGAGUACCAUCCUGUCAUAAUUUAAAAACCUGGAGUGAAAUAGAGCCCCUUGGGAUUGUUUGCUCCUGUGUGUGCCUCAUGGCUUUCUAAUUAAAAAAAAAAAAAAAAAAAAAACCA
Molecule: long non-coding RNA, 928 nt
Organism: Serinus canaria (Common canary)
Lineage: Eukaryota; Metazoa; Chordata; Aves; Passeriformes; Fringillidae
Exons: 2
Source: RefSeq, a predicted model, not a curated record